Molecule: ribosomal RNA, 468 nt
Filed under: uncultured bacterium
Lineage: Bacteria
Description: partial 16S ribosomal RNA
Rfam family: Bacterial small subunit ribosomal RNA
Source: RNAcentral
GACGAACGCUGGCGGCGUGCUUAACACAUGCAAGUCGAACGGAAAGGCCCUGCUUUUGUGGGGUGCUCGAGUGGCGAACGGGUGAGUAACACGUGAGUAACCUGCCCUUGACUUUGGGAUAACUUCAGGAAACUGGGGCUAAUACCGGAUAGGAGCUCCUGCUGCAUGGUGGGGGUUGGAAAGUUUCGGCGGUUGGGGAUGGACUCGCGGCUUAUCAGCUUGUUGGUGGGGUAGUGGCUUACCAAGGCUUUGACGGGUAGCCGGCCUGAGAGGGUGAACGGCCACCUUGGGACUGAGAUACGGCACAGACUGCUACGGGAGGCAGCAGUGGGGAAUAUUGCACAAUGGGCGGAAGCCUGAUGCAGCAACGCCGCGUGCGGGAUGACGGCCUUCGGGUUGUAAACCGCUUUCGCCUGUGACGAAGCGUGAGUGACGGUAAUGGGUAAAGAAGCACCGGCUAACUACGUG